This is a non-coding RNA of Pogona vitticeps (central bearded dragon), 387 nucleotides long. The record is from RefSeq and is a predicted model, not a curated record. Lineage: Eukaryota; Metazoa; Chordata; Lepidosauria; Squamata; Agamidae.
UGUGCUCUGCUACAAGAACAAGAUGCCAAGAGGAGGGACUACAGCUGAGCUGGUGGAUUCUCCGUCAUGGGAGAAAAUGAUGAGUCUGAAGAAGAGAGUCUACUGUUCACAUGGAGAGAAUCUCCAUGUGAGCGAGCAAGCCAGAAAAUUGAGGAUAAUUUAAAAGCAGGAAAGAGAAUUUUCAAUGGCAUUUGGUUGAAGAAAAUGUGUUUAGACGAUGGCACAGAAAAAGGCAAGGUUUCUCUGAACAUUUUUGCCUGAGAUUCAUCAGCAUUCUGUGGCUUCAGUGGAAGAAACAGAAGGAAAUGUAGCUCUGAAUUCCAAUUAUGCUGAGGGGAAGACUGCAGCAUCCCAUUGUAAGAAAACAUCUUCCAUUGAAAGAUUAAA